This 243-nucleotide ribosomal RNA is filed under the name uncultured Staphylococcus sp. Its description in RNAcentral is "partial 16S ribosomal RNA". It matches the Rfam family "Bacterial small subunit ribosomal RNA", at positions 97 to 334 of the family's 1533-position model. The record is from RNAcentral. Lineage: Bacteria; Bacillati; Bacillota; Bacilli; Caryophanales; Staphylococcaceae.
GGCGGACGGGUGAGUAACACGUGGAUAACCUACCUAUAAGACUGGGGUAACUUCGGGAAACCGGAGCUAAUACCGGAUAAUAUUUUGAACCGCAUGGUUCAAAAGUGAAAGACGGUCUUGCUGUCACUUAUAGAUGGAUCCGCGCUGCAUUAGCUAGUUGGUAAGGUAACGGCUUACCAAGGCAACGAUGCAUAGCCGACCUGAGAGGGUGGUCGGCCACACUGGAACUGAGACACGGUCCAG